CCUACGGGCGGCAGCAGUGGGGAAUAUUGGACAAUGGGCGAAAGCCUGAUCCAGCCAUGCCGCGUGUGUGAAGAAGGCCUUCGGGUUGUAAAGCACUUUCAGUGGGGAAGAAAGCCUUGGGGCUAAUACCCUCGAGGAAGGACAUCACCCACAGAAGAAGCACCGGCUAACUCCGUGCCAGCAGCCGCGGUAAUACGGAGGGUGCGAGCGUUAAUCGGAAUUACUGGGCGUAAAGCGCGCGUAGGCGGUCUGAUAAGCCGGUUGUGAAAGCCCCGGGCGCAACCUGGGAACGGCAUCCGGAACUGGCAGGCUAGAGUGCAGGAGAGGAAGGUAGAAUUCCCGGUGUAGCGGUGAAAUGCGUAGAGAUCGGGAGGAAUACCAGUGGAGAAGGCGGCCUUCUGGACUGACACUGACGCUGAGGUGCGAAAGCGUGGGUAGCAAACAGGAUUAGAUACCCGGGUAGUC
RNAcentral lists this ribosomal RNA (465 nucleotides) under Vreelandella stevensii. RNAcentral's name for it is "partial 16S ribosomal RNA". It matches the Rfam family "Bacterial small subunit ribosomal RNA", at positions 338 to 795 of the family's 1533-position model. Lineage: Bacteria; Pseudomonadati; Pseudomonadota; Gammaproteobacteria; Oceanospirillales; Halomonadaceae. The record is from RNAcentral.